CCUACGGGCGGCAGCAGGGGGGAAUAUUGCACAAUGGGGGAAACCCUGAUGCAGCGACGCCGCGUGAGGGAUGAAGGAUUUCGGUAUGGAAAGCUCUAUCAGCAGGGAAGAAAAUGACGGUACCUGACUAAGAAGCCCCGGCUAACUACGUGCCAGCAGCCGCGGGAAUACGUAGGGGGCAAGCGUUAUCCGGAUUUACUGGGUGUAAAGGGAGCGUAGACGGUCCUGCAAGCCAGAUGUGAAAGCCCGGGGCUCAACCCCGGGACUGCAUUUGGAACUGUAAGGCUAGAGUGUCGGAGAGGCAGGCGGAAUUCCUAGUGUAGCGGUGAAAUGCGUAGAUAUUAGGAGGAACACCAGUGGCGAAGGCGGCCUGCUGGACGAUGACUGACGUUGAGGCUCGAAAGCGUGGGGAGCAAACAGGAUUAGAUACCCUUGUAGUC
This 440-nucleotide ribosomal RNA is filed under the name uncultured bacterium. RNAcentral describes it as "partial 16S ribosomal RNA". It matches the Rfam family "Bacterial small subunit ribosomal RNA", at positions 338 to 795 of the family's 1533-position model. The record is from RNAcentral.